GUGGGGAAUCUUCCGCAAUGGACGAAAGUCUGACGGAGCAACGCCGCGUGAGUGAUGAAGGUCUUCGGAUUGUAAAGCUCUGUUAAUCGGGACGAAAGAGCCUAGUGUGAAUAAUGCUAGGAAGUGACGGUACCGGAAUAGAAAGCCACGGCUAACUACGUGCCAGCAGCCGCGGUAAUACGUAGGUGGCAAGCGUUGUCCGGAAUUAUUGGGCGUAAAGCGCGCGCAGGCGGAUCUGCCAGUCUGUCUUAAAAGGUCGGGGCUUAACCCCGUGAUGGGAUGGAAACUACAGAUCUAGAGUAUCGGAGAGGAAAGUGGAAUUCCUAGUGUAGCGGUGAAAUGCGUAGAUAUUAGGAAGAACACCAGUGGCGAAGGCGACUUUCUGGACGAAAACUGACGCUGAGGCGCGAAAGCCAGGGGAGCGAACGGGAUUAGAUACCCUAGUAGUCC
Molecule: ribosomal RNA, 450 nt
Filed under: uncultured bacterium
Lineage: Bacteria
Description: partial 16S ribosomal RNA
Rfam family: Bacterial small subunit ribosomal RNA
Source: RNAcentral